UGGGGAAUCUUCCGCAAUGGACGAAAGUCUGACGGAGCAACGCCGCGUGCGGGAUGAAGGCCUUCGGGUUGUAAACCGCUUUCAGCAGGGACGAGGCGAAAGUGACGGUACCUGCAGAAGAAGCCCCGGCUAACUACGUGCCAGCAGCCGCGGUAAUACGUAGGGGGCAAGCGUUAUCCGGAUUCAUUGGGCGUAAAGCGCUCGUAGGCGGUCUGUUAGGUCGGGAGUUAAAUCCGGGGGCUCAACCCCCGUUCGCUCCCGAUACCGGCAGACUUGAGUUUGGUAGGGGAAGGUGGAAUUCCUAGUGUAGCGGUGGAAUGCGCAGAUAUUAGGAAGAACACCAGUGGCGAAGGCGACUUUCUGGACGAAAACUGACGCUGAGGCGCGAAAGCCAGGGGAGCGAACGGGAUUAGAUACCCCGGUAGUCCUGGCCGUAAACGAUGGGUACUAGGUGUAGGAGGUAUCGACCCCUUCUGUGCCGGAGUUAACGCAAUAAGUACCCCGCCUGGGGAGUACGACCGCAAGGUUG
This 529-nucleotide ribosomal RNA is filed under the name uncultured bacterium. RNAcentral describes it as "bacterial SSU rRNA". It matches the Rfam family "Bacterial small subunit ribosomal RNA", at positions 355 to 896 of the family's 1533-position model. The record is from RNAcentral.